Molecule: transfer RNA, 85 nt
Filed under: Thermofilum sp. ex4484_82
Lineage: Archaea; Thermoproteati; Thermoproteota; Thermoprotei; Thermofilales; Thermofilaceae
Also listed under: 4 other names
Description: tRNA-Leu
Rfam family: tRNA
About the family: Transfer RNA (tRNA) molecules are approximately 80 nucleotides in length. Their secondary structure includes four short double-helical elements and three loops (D, anti-codon, and T loops).
Source: RNAcentral
GCGGGGGUGCCCGAGCUAGGUCAAAGGGGGCGGACUCAAGAUCCGUUGGCGAAGGCCUACCGGGGUUCGAAUCCCCGCCCCCGCA